GGUUUUAUAUUCAAGUAUGAUUCUAGACUGCAAUUCUAGAGGUGUAGAAUAUUAUUUUACUAAGGCCU
This 68-nucleotide transfer RNA is filed under the name Orinhippus tibetanus. RNAcentral describes it as "tRNA-Cys". Lineage: Eukaryota; Metazoa; Arthropoda; Insecta; Orthoptera; Acrididae. The record is from RNAcentral.